Molecule: long non-coding RNA, 529 nt
Filed under: Cricetulus griseus (Chinese hamster)
Lineage: Eukaryota; Metazoa; Chordata; Mammalia; Rodentia; Cricetidae
Description: lncRNA (ENSCGRG00015029406.1)
Source: RNAcentral
GUGAUCCCAAGAAGAGAGGACACAUAAGGCCAGCAUCCUCGUUCGAGUUCCGGUGGAAUCCACUCAACAUCUUGAAGGUGAUGACGCCGUAUUCUAAUCCUGAAAAUGUAUGGGACUGCACGGCUUCUGGGACCAAACUCCGACUGUUGGACAGUGCAAGUUUCUAUCUACUGAGCCACAUUGCUGACCCAGGAAUUGAAGUUUUCAAGAAGUAUGGAUGUUUUUAUGUGGAAGGAUUAAAAAAAUAUAGUAUUGAUUGAAAAACAAAGAAAGCUACAGGAUGAAACAGACUAUUGGAUUCCACUGAUUCAAAGAUAAACUCAAAGCUAUUCAAUAGGACUAUAAAGCAUUUGUGAAUUCAUGUAUGUAUAGAAGAAAUAGCAAGAGCAAACAGAAAGAUAGGCAACAAAACUACAACAGUGGUUGCUUCGGCAGUACCAAGGGCACAUUAAGACUGAAAUAUUUGGUUUAUAACUAGAAAUGUGAACACAUUUUAUGUGGUAGAAUAUGGAAGUAUAUUUAAUUUCUA